Alligator mississippiensis (American alligator) is the source of this 5120-nucleotide long non-coding RNA. RefSeq lists it as uncharacterized. NCBI's taxonomy places the organism in Eukaryota, Metazoa, Chordata, Crocodylia, Alligatoridae. The record is from RefSeq and is a predicted model, not a curated record. The transcript is spliced from 3 exons.
AGGUUGAGCGUGCUAUAGAGAGUUUCAGCAGCUGAUCUACAGGCUGGAAGGCUCAAGGCAAAACUUGGUGCUUAGGAGGGAGGCAUGAUCCAAAAUCAAACUGAAGGAUGUUUUCACACACUCCCGAGAUGCCACCUCCUAUGUUUGCACAGUUUUUGACACUCUUCCUCCAACUAUCAAAGAACGUUAUGAAGUUGCCCGUAAUACCAUGGGGAAAGAUCUGUGAAUCAGGACCCGCUGUUUGCCAGUGUUGAAUUUGUGGGAACUGUUACAAUCCCUCGUAUUUCUUUGACUCUUUUGUUUUGCUUGCUUCUAAUCGGUGCUGUAAGUGCUAAUGACUUGCACUAUGCUGGCUGAACUGAUAAAGUCAUCCUGGCUGUCCUUUAAAAAGCACUUCAGGCUGAUUGAGUUGUUUCUGGAAUAGCUGAGUCAGAGUCUGAAGCAGAAUUAAACUUUUUCCUUUUCAGUGGGUUCAGCUAAUUGCUAAUAGUGCAGAUAAUGUCUAACUUUGGGAUAAUUUGGAGUAAUAUGGAGCCAUCAGAAAACCCUUGGCAUAUAGUAGUAAGUCCUCCCAUGGCCUAGAUUCACUCUGGCUUCAUAUUGUAAUAAAUUUUGGCUAAGGUCUUCCAAAUAGAAAGUCUACCCAGUUUUUUCAACUGCUUGUGAACGGUUUAGAAACAGUUGCCAGAGCUCCUUGGGAAAAGUCCAGUGCAAACCCAGGAUCUAGCAUCUGCAGCAGUGGGCCAGUACAUUGUCCCAGGAGGCUACAUUGGCAGGAUGUCUUUGAUGCCUCAGCAAGAUUUUAGAGAUGCCCCCACUGUCCUCCUUGAGCAUGACCGCUUCUGUUUUCUCCCUCCCCCCUGACAACAUGGCUUGAAAAGGGGGCUGUAGUUUGUACCCCAACACCCACGCACAUCAGCAUACGUGAAUCCAAAGAGUCUAACAUCCUCUUCCACUUGUAUCCCUUCAGGGGACUAUCUCCAGAUCUGCACUAGAUUCAAAUUCCCAUGUCUGCCCCUUGUCCAGAUUAGAUCCAAACCUUCUGUUUGUCUUCAGAAAUGAGGAUGCGGGGGUAAAGUAGCGACAGCUGAUCCCCCUUGGACCCUUUGCAAUGUCGAUCGGAGAACCCAAUAGAAAACCCUCCUCCGUGAAUAGGAUAUAGUAUGAGGUGGGCAAAAUGCAGCUCACGGGCUGGAUGCAGCCCGUCAGGCCAGUCUAUCCAGCCUGCAGGGACCCUAAAGAAUUUAGAAAAUUAAUAUUUACCUGCCCCUGGCUUCCUGUCAUGCUGCCCUUGAUGACUCAGUAAGCAGCCCUCUGCCCAAAAUAAUUGCCCGCCCCUGGUCUAGUAUAAUGCUAAACCUUUGUGUAUUUAGGGUUUAUUGGGUGAUCCUUUGGAUUUGAAUGCCUUCUCCAGUGAUACAGUUGAAACUCUGUAGAAGGCAGGGUGGAUUUGCACCUUGUAGACUAACCAAAGUAAAUAGAUACUUAUAUAUGUAUAGUACUUGGAUUGUCAAGCAGCAAUUUUCCCAAGACAGAAUCAAGAUCUUGGUUAUCCCUUAUGGACUCAAUGUCAAAAGGCAGUAAUGUUUUGCAAUAAAAUGUGGGUGAUACACAAAUCAAGCACAUGGGGUUUUCUUUAGCAUUUGCUAGAAUAUGAUUAACUUCCAGACAGAGUAUGUAUUAGUGCAGGUCCCUAAUUUUUAAGAUGUGGUGUCUUGAUGAUAUGCUUAAUACACCUGGAGUCUCAUUUCUGCCCUGUAGCGCUCUCACUUCUGUUUUACAUAGGUUCUGGUAUGAUCCACGUCACCAGAGCAUCUGAGCACCCUCCAGUAAUGCAAUGAGCACCAUGGGUUCUGCAGACAUUUAUUCUUGCCUGUGAGCCAAGAACAUGCUUUCAACAUGUUUAUCUAUGACUUAGGGGAAAAUAAGAGUAACUGUCUAAUAAACUUUUCCAGUAACACAGAGUUGGGGAAUAGUAAAUGAUGAAGACAGGUCGCUGAUGCUGGCUAUCUGGAUCACUUGGUCAGCUGGGCAUAAGCAAACACGAUCAUCAUGACACAGAUGUGAAGACCUGCAUCUGUGGACAAAGAUAUAGAGUAUACUUAUAGGCUGGGGGACUCUAUCCUGGGAAUUAGCAUCUCUGAAAAAGGUUUCAAGGAUUCCUGAUAUGUAAUCAUCUGAACAUGAGCUCUGUGUUUGCUGCUAUGGCCAAAAGGAUAAGGUAGUCUUUUGGCUGUAUAAACAGAGGGAUAUUGAGGAGUAGUAGAAAGGUUGCAUCACUCCUUCAUAGGGAAAUGGUGUAACCAUUACAGGAAUCUUGUGUCCUUGAUUCAAGAAAAUGUUGCAAAACUAGGAAGGAUUCAGAGAAGAGCAACUAGAAGGAUUAGAAACCUUGCCUUAUAAGGCAAGUCUUAAGGAAUUCAAUGUAUUUACCUUUGCAAGGGCACUGUUAAAGGGCAGCUUGCUCAUAAUCUAAACAGGAACAGAAAUUUGGUAAUUAAGCCCAUUAAACCAGAGAGAAACAUCUCUUACAUCUCUAGUUGAAACUAGACAAAUUCAGACUCACUGUAAAGGGCAAAAUUUGAACAGUGAGGGGCAGAGGUGUAACAAGUAGUUUCUGUGCCCUGGGUGGUGGCAGUGGCCAGGAUGGUGGCAGUGAUGGGUGGGAGUUGGUGGCCACUGCUGCCAGUUGUGAAUCCCCUCUGAGCUGGCACCUAGGGCUGCUGUCCUGCUUGCCCACCUGUAGUUAUGCUACUAGCAAGGGCAGCCAGUGAUUGAAACAACUUCCACCAUGGAUUGGGAUGAAAUCCUCAUUGCUAGCAAUUUUGAAAUCAUAACAGGAUGUUCUUUUCCACAGGUACAGUCCUAUUGAGGGACAUCCUAUGCUAUGUUAGAACUCAGAAGAAAGCAGUAGUCUGCUUUCGCCUUAUAAUCUCCGAUUAACACGGCACAUGUGCAAUCUCUCAUUCUCCCCCCAGGAAGAGAAGUGUGCACAGUGGAAUAUUUUAAAUUUGGUAGGAUUUAAAAAAAAACCCAAAAAAACUUUGGUCUGUGUUUGCUGGAGGAGGCAGGCCAAGGAAAUACUCAUGGAUUUGGAGCAAGAGGUCUUGAAAUUUCUGAGGUUCGUGCAGGAGUUUGUUCCAAGUCGUUUUAUUUUUUUAAUGUAACUCAGUUCUCCAACUGUAAAAUGGAGAUGAUACCACUUCUCUUCCUCUGAGUAUAGAUGUGAAGCGCUCAGAUGCUAUGGAAAGUGGUGGGGGAGGAGGUGGGAAGAGAGAGAAAUACUAAAGAAGAGAGGGUCCUGGCCUGUGGCCUAGGCAUCUUAAAACUAGUCUAAACUGUACAACUCCAAUUGUGAAGAAGACAAAUGCUGGUUAUGAUGCACACAUGGACCUGCUCUGAAGAAUCACAGGGACACAAAUGAGUCGCUCCAGCUUCUGAGUCACUUUUUGAUGAAAGUAACUCAUAUUAGCACUUAAAGUCAAUGCAAGGAAUUGCUUUUGGCUCUUUUACAUCCCAGAUGUGACUAAUUUGAAACUAAUUUUAAGGAGAGAAAAUGUUUAUCCCCAGGAUGCCAACUCUUAUACUAAGAAGCAAACUUCAGCAAGUUAUGGGAUAUGUGGGGAGUGCAAGUUAAGCCAUGCUGGUAGACUUCCCUGUAAUACAUUAAUUUUGUACCGAAUGCAGAAAGGUCAAACAAACAUACUGUCCAUGGUGAAUAUUUGAUGGCUCACAUCACCACCGCAUCUGAGCAUCAUGCUAGUGUUUAACAUCUUUAACCUCAUGGCAGUGUUGUAGAGCAAGCAGUGUUCGGGUUUUACAAAUAAGAAACUAAGGGCAUUUAUACACAUGCUUCGGUGGUGGUGGUGGAGGGGGUACUUUAAUUAGAGCUGGUCCGAGAGAAACAAUAACUUGCCCAAGGUCUUGCAGGAAGUCGGUAACAGAACAAGGGAUUGAACGGAGGCCUCCCAGGGCUGCUGCCCUCAUCACUGGACUCUAAUGUGCACGAGGCUGCCAGUCUUGUGGUGUUCAAAACUGAAUUCAGCUGAAUUGGACCAGAAGAGUGAUCCUUAGCCUCUGUUACAACGUUCUGCCAGCACAGCUGUGCCGGUCCUAGCGAUCGCACCCCAGAGGUGUUGCAGCUCUGCCAUCAAAGCCUCCAGAUGUAGCAAACCCCCCCAGUUGUUCUUUUUUUUAAAUUUUAAAAUGCAUUUCCUCCCCUUCCCCAACCAUUUCUGACUUUUUCUCUCCCUCUCUCUUCCCUAUAGAUAAGUAUAAGUAAGCUAAGAUGUAGGAUAAGCUUUAACAUUUUAUUUUAAGUAGUAAGUUUUAUUUUUCUCUCCCCACUUUGCAAAUAAAUGACCUGCUAUUUUGAUAUAGAUAUCCACUGUUUUAUAACUGAUAAUUAUUAUGAUUGUAUUGUUUUGUUUUGUUUUUACUGCUUUUAUAUUGUGUGAUGAUUGUUUUAGGCCUAUAUAUGUAAGUUAGCAUAAGUCAUGUCAAGUUUCCAUCUUGUAAUGUCAAGCCUCCAUCUUGUGUCCCCUGACCUAUGACUCACACCUACCCCUCCUAUGUAACUUGGUUCCUGAAUGAAUGGGGAUGAAUGAGGGUGCUUGAGAGACAAUGGCAGUAGGUCUAAAAAUAGGUCCCUCUGAAUGACUGUACCAUCAACACCAGUACCGGGACCAAUGACCCAGCCAUUGAAACCACCCUCAGCAUUCAAGACACAAAAGAUGAGGCAACCUGCCAUUGUGCCAAGGCUGCAUGUGCUCGGUAAGAAUACGUGGAGCCCUCUGGGACAGGACUAACCUUGUCUGGACAGGCCCUCCCCAUAGAUCAGAAGUAGUCUGCCCCAUAAAAAGGGGUAGUAAAGACUGACUCCUUGGGACGCCCUCUCCAUCUGGACCAGCCACAACACCUAUCCACCCAGAGGCCCUGCCGGCGACCCCCCUCUGGACAACACCUACUGGACAAGGACCCCUUUCCAGCCUGUAUAGGUAGCUAUCACCCCCCACCCCCUCUUCAACCAAAGACUUGGACUCUGCUUCUCUUCCCCACCUGGACUCCAACCCUUCCACUGAGUCUCUUUCUUGUGCUGCCAUUGUGAGUGUUUGUGUGCA